GAUUUCGUAUAUUCGCGUGUAUGUGAUCAAAUACAGAUCUAUAUACGUGUGUAUUCGUAUACUGCCUUUAUGUGACGUCAGCUGAUUCACCGAAACAACAUUUGCCUUUUCUACAUUAUAUCAGUUCCAUCGCGAUAAGAAUUCCACACAAAAAGAAAGCUCGGUACUUGGAAAUACCGGUUCAAGGUCAUUUAAAAAAAUAUGUUUUAUAUAUAUAUAUAUGUACACCCAUGCGCGCGCGCGCACACACACACACAACGAACAAACAAAAGGUGAGACCAAUCCCUGACUUUGUGUCCUUUUGGUCCUUUCUUGGAAAUCCUACUAAUUAUGUUAGCGUUCCGUAAAAUACAAUAAUUAUUUAUCAUAAUGUUCAAAUCAAGCGGAGCUGGCGUAAGGCUUCGAUAGCUGAAUAACUGGAAAAGCGUAUAAUUUUCAGAAGCAUAAUAUUGUCUGGCCAAUCAUAUUAGAGAUGAAUUUCCCUGUGACUAAUCUCAUCCUCUUUUGUUUUAUGCUUUAAUAUUCACCAUUUUGAAAAUUUGUUAAAUUCAUGGAAUAUACAAUUUCAAGAUCUGCGCAAACUUUGAAUAAUUACAAUAACAAUAUGGAAACACAUUUAUCGGAUGUAUAAAAUGCGAUCGGAUGUAACAUGAGAAUCGAAAGUAACGUAAGAUGGUAUCGUUUAAUUGCUAGACAAGAAAAAUCAGUUUUCUGGUUUGUUUAUAAUAAAAAAGAAAACGCAUCUACGUUUUCUAAACUUUACAUGGAUAGCGAUCACGUGGUGAAUUAUCAAAGCUUGAAAGAGUGGGAAGGGGGAGAGGGGAGACCUGAACGUAUAUAAUCUUCAGCACAUAUUCCACCACCCAGUUCUGCUUCGACUUCGGACGUGUGAAUUGUGUCAAGCUUCCGAGGAGGGAAAGUUUUUGUUUGUUUGGUGCGCUCAUUGUAUGGAGCGAGAGAAGAGUAUAAAACACGGAGAGAGCCCUGUAGAGCCAAUAAGCAGCUGCAGGGAUGAGCAUGGCUUUGUGCCAACAGUGGGCCGUUGGGGAAGUGAAUGGCC
Long non-coding RNA from Bombus pascuorum, 1060 nucleotides. RefSeq lists it as uncharacterized. The record is from RefSeq and is a predicted model, not a curated record. Lineage: Eukaryota; Metazoa; Arthropoda; Insecta; Hymenoptera; Apidae. The transcript is spliced from 2 exons.